This 207-nucleotide ribosomal RNA is filed under the name uncultured bacterium. RNAcentral's name for it is "partial 16S ribosomal RNA". It matches the Rfam family "Bacterial small subunit ribosomal RNA", at positions 568 to 774 of the family's 1533-position model. The record is from RNAcentral.
CACGUAGGCGGUAGGACAAGUUAGAUGUGAAAUCCCAGGGCUUAACCUUGGAACUGCAUCUAAAACUGUUUUACUAGAGUUCACUAGAGGGAAGCGGAAUUUCCGGUGUAGCGGUGAAAUGCGUAGAUAUCGGAAGGAACAUCAGUGGCGAAGGCGGCUUUCUGGAGUUGAACUGACGCUAAGGUGCGAGAGCGUGGGGAGCGAACA